RNAcentral lists this long non-coding RNA (442 nucleotides) under Olea europaea subsp. europaea. The record is from RNAcentral. Lineage: Eukaryota; Viridiplantae; Streptophyta; Magnoliopsida; Lamiales; Oleaceae.
UGAGGCCCCUGGAAUAUGAGAUAAAUCAAGUACGGGUGUGUACUUGGAGAAUCUUACUGGAGGGAUCUGUGAAACCUUAUAUUCAAUCUCUAUGAUUGUUGUCUGUUAACUGAUCUUGCCUGUUCUCUUCUAAUACUAAAAGAAUUCUGAAAUUCUGUAUUACCGUGUCUUCUACUAUGCUUCUAAACUUGACACAAAGUGGUACUUUUGACUCUUUGUUUAAACUGCUGCAAGCUCUAGCUGAUCUGUGUGUGAUAAUUUGUCUGCAUCAUGACUACUACUAAAUUUGAAGUCAGUCAGUUUGAUGAUAAAAUUGAUUUUGAUAUGUGGUGUCAGAAAAUGAAAGCAAUUUUGAUGUAAAUGAAAUGUACAAAGGCUUUAGAUGAUUCAUGGCCUGAGAGUUUAGCACCAAAUAAGAAAUCUGAACUUGAGGAGAUUGUUU